Molecule: small nucleolar RNA, 128 nt
Filed under: Caenorhabditis brenneri
Lineage: Eukaryota; Metazoa; Nematoda; Chromadorea; Rhabditida; Rhabditidae
Description: snoRNA CBN33894
Rfam family: Caenorhabditis snoRNA ceN67
Source: Rfam by way of RNAcentral
AAUCCCAUUAUCUUUCCAUCAGCUGAUUUUCACGUCUCUGAUGGCUUAAUAUGGGAGAAAUGAUCAGGAUUUGUCUGAAAACGUUGGGUUAUCACUUGUAGAUAUGUCAUUUCAUUCUGCCGACAUUU